CGUGGGUAACCUGCCCAAGAGAUCGGGAUAACACCUGGAAACAGAUGCUAAUACCGGAUAACAACAGAUGAUGCCUAUCAACUGUUUAAAAGAUGGUUCUGCUAUCACUCUUGGAUGGACCUGCGGUGCAUUAGUUAGUUGGUAGGGUAACGGCCUACCAAGGCGAUGAUGCAUAGCCGAGUUGAGAGACUGAUCGGCCACAUUGGGACUGAGACACGGCCCAAACUCCACGGGAGGCAGCAACA
This 245-nucleotide ribosomal RNA is filed under the name uncultured Lactobacillus sp. RNAcentral's name for it is "partial 16S ribosomal RNA". It matches the Rfam family "Bacterial small subunit ribosomal RNA", at positions 116 to 353 of the family's 1533-position model. Lineage: Bacteria; Bacillati; Bacillota; Bacilli; Lactobacillales; Lactobacillaceae. The record is from RNAcentral.